This 588-nucleotide long non-coding RNA is filed under the name Lathyrus oleraceus (garden pea). RNAcentral's name for it is "Pisum sativum (pea) long non-coding RNA (PSAT_LNC031975)". The record is from RNAcentral. Lineage: Eukaryota; Viridiplantae; Streptophyta; Magnoliopsida; Fabales; Fabaceae.
AUCCAACGCUCCGUGUUUUUUCUGAUUUUAUUUCUUUAUCUAUUUUCAUUUUUAAUUGUAUUUUCUUUUAAAAUUCAUAGAAAAUUCAUUUUACAUCCAAAAAUCCCAAAAUAAUUUAUAAAAUUCUCUUUUAUUUUUCUUCAUCUGAUUUAUAUUUUUCCACAUUUUUUUAUUGAUUUUCUAUUUUCAUGGAAUAUCUCUUUUCUCAUUUGUUUUAAUUGGUUUAAAAAAACUUUUCUACAUUUUUAAAUUCUGAAAAUUUUAUUAUAUGCUUAGUUAAUUUCCAAACCUUCCAUAGUUUUCUUGGCCAUUUAGUUGGUGUUUUGAAGGACUUUAUGGAUUUUUCCACUUUAUUUCUAUUUUAAAAUUCAUUUUAAAAUUAUUUUUGUUGCAUUUUAUUUUAUUUUAUUGCACUUUAUAUUUGUUUAACCUUUGUUGACUUCUAUUGGACUUGGAUCACGUUUGUUUUUAUCAUUUGUAUCAUCAAACUCAAUGGAUCUUGGGUGUUAAUGGGGUAAAAACUUUAAUCCACCAAAAUGGAUGAUUGAUUUUGAUGAUGACUUGAUCAAACCUUUGAUCAAAUUUCAG